This 336-nucleotide ribosomal RNA is filed under the name Francisella-like endosymbiont. RNAcentral's name for it is "bacterial SSU rRNA". It matches the Rfam family "Bacterial small subunit ribosomal RNA", at positions 739 to 1071 of the family's 1533-position model. Lineage: Bacteria; Pseudomonadati; Pseudomonadota; Gammaproteobacteria; Thiotrichales; Francisellaceae. The record is from RNAcentral.
ACUGACACUGAGGGACGAAAGCGUGGGGAUCAAACAGGAUUAGAUACCCUGGUAGUCCACGCUGUAAACGAUGAGUACUAGCUGUUGGAGUCGGUGUAAAGGCUCUAGUGGCGCAGCUAACGCGAUAAGUACUCCGCCUGGGGACUACGGCCGCAAGGCUAAAACUCAAAGGAAUUGACGGGGACCCGCACAAGCGGUGGAGCAUGUAGUUUAAUUCGAUGCAACGCGAAGAACCUUACCUGGUCUUGACAUCCUGCGAUCUUUCUAGAGAUAGAUUGGUGCCUUCGGGAACGCAGUGACAGGUGGUGCACGGCUGUCGUCAGCUCGUGUUGUGAA